UACGAGGGGAGCAAGCGUUGUUCGGAUUUACUGGGCGUAAAGGGCGCGUGGGCGGUCGUGACAAGUCACUUGUGAAAUCUCCGGGCUUAACUCGGAACGGUCAAGUGAUACUGUCGGACUAGAGUACAGAAGGGGCAACUGGAAUUCUCGGUGUAGCGGUGAAAUGCGUAGAUAUCGAGAGGAACACCUGCGGCGAAGGCGGGUUGCUGGGCUGAUACUGACGCUGAUGCGCGAAAGCCAGGGGAGCGAACGGG
This 254-nucleotide ribosomal RNA is filed under the name uncultured bacterium. RNAcentral describes it as "partial 16S ribosomal RNA". It matches the Rfam family "Bacterial small subunit ribosomal RNA", at positions 524 to 776 of the family's 1533-position model. The record is from RNAcentral.